This 692-nucleotide non-coding RNA is filed under the name Streptomycetaceae bacterium MP113-05. RNAcentral describes it as "Bacterial large subunit ribosomal RNA". It matches the Rfam family "Bacterial large subunit ribosomal RNA", at positions 2236 to 2925 of the family's 2925-position model. Lineage: Bacteria; Bacillati; Actinomycetota; Actinomycetes; Kitasatosporales; Streptomycetaceae. The record is from Rfam by way of RNAcentral.
UGAUCCGGAUCAGGGACAGUGUCUGGUGGGUAGUUUAACUGGGGCGGUUGCCUCCUAAAGAGUAACGGAGGCGCCCAAAGGUUCCCUCAGCCUGGUUGGUAAUCAGGUGGUGAGUGUAAGUGCACAAGGGAGCUUGACUGUGAGACUGACGGGUCGAGCAGGGACGAAAGUCGGGACUAGUGAUCCGGCGGUGGCUUGUGGAAGCGCCGUCGCUCAACGGAUAAAAGGUACCCCGGGGAUAACAGGCUGAUCUUCCCCAAGAGUCCAUAUCGACGGGAUGGUUUGGCACCUCGAUGUCGGCUCGUCGCAUCCUGGGGCUGGAGUCGGUCCCAAGGGUUGGGCUGUUCGCCCAUUAAAGCGGUACGCGAGCUGGGUUUAGAACGUCGUGAGACAGUUCGGUCCCUAUCCGCUGCGCGCGUAGGAGUUUUGAGAAGGGCUGUCCCUAGUACGAGAGGACCGGGACGGACGAACCUCUGGUGUGCCAGUUGUUCUGCCAAGGGCAUGGCUGGUUGGCUACGUUCGGGAGGGAUAACCGCUGAAAGCAUCUAAGCGGGAAGCCUGCUUCGAGAUGAGAACUCCCACCCCCUUUGAGGGGUUAAGGCUCCCGGUAGACGACCGGGUUGAUAGGCCGGAUCUGGAAGCCCAGUAAUGGGUGGAGGUGACCGGUACUAAUAGGCCGAGGGCUUGACCAU